GCCAGACUCCUACGGGAGGCAGCAGUGGGGAAUAUUGCGCAAUGGGCGAAAGCCUGACGCAGCGACGCCGCGUGAGGGAUGAAGGUCUUCGGAUCGUAAACCUCUAUCAGCAGGGAAGAAGAUGACGGUACCUGACUAAGAAGCCCCGGCUAACUACGUGCCAGCAGCCGCGGUAAUACGUAGGGGGCAAGCGUUAUCCGGAUUUACUGGGUGUAAAGGGAGCGUAGACGGCGAUGCAAGCCAGAUGUGAAAGCCCGGGGCUCAACCCCGGGACUGCAUUUGGAACUGUGUGGCUGGAGUGUCGGAGAGGCAGGCGGAAUUCCUAGUGUAGCGGUGAAAUGCGUAGAUAUUAGGAGGAACACCAGUGGCGAAGGCGGCCUGCUGGACGAUGACUGACGUUGAGGCUCGAAAGCGUGGGGAGCAAACAGGAUUAGAUACCCCAGUAG
RNAcentral lists this ribosomal RNA (446 nucleotides) under uncultured bacterium. RNAcentral describes it as "bacterial SSU rRNA". It matches the Rfam family "Bacterial small subunit ribosomal RNA", at positions 330 to 793 of the family's 1533-position model. The record is from RNAcentral.